This 265-nucleotide ribosomal RNA is filed under the name uncultured bacterium. Its description in RNAcentral is "partial 16S ribosomal RNA". It matches the Rfam family "Bacterial small subunit ribosomal RNA", at positions 91 to 354 of the family's 1533-position model. The record is from RNAcentral.
CUUAGCGGCGGACGGGUGAGUAACGCGUGGGCAACCUGCCGUAUACAGGGGAAUAAUCACUGGAAACGGUGACUAAUACCGCAUGUCAUCACAAGGAGGCAUCUUUUUGUGAGAAAAGGAGCAAUCCGGUAUACGAUGGGCCCGCGUCUGAUUAGCUAGUUGGCGGGGUAACGGCCCACCAAAGCGACGAUCGGUAGCCGGCCUGAGAGGGCGGACGGCCACAUUGGGACUGAGACACGGCCCAAACUCCUACGGAAGGCAGCAG